RNAcentral lists this ribosomal RNA (377 nucleotides) under uncultured Anaerolineae bacterium. Its description in RNAcentral is "bacterial SSU rRNA". It matches the Rfam family "Bacterial small subunit ribosomal RNA", at positions 521 to 896 of the family's 1533-position model. Lineage: Bacteria; Bacillati; Chloroflexota; Anaerolineae. The record is from RNAcentral.
UAACACGUAGGAUUCAAACGUUAUCCGGAUUUACUGGGCGUAAAGCGCGUGCAGGCGGUUUGGUAAGUUGGAUGUGAAAGCUCCGGGCUCAACCCGGAGAGGUCGUUCAAUACUGCCAAACUAGAGGACGAUAGAGGAAGGUGGAAUUCCAGGUGUAGUGGUGAAAUGCGUAGAUAUCUGGAGGAACACCAGUGGCGAAAGCGGCCUUCUGGGUCGGUCCUGACGCUAAGACGCGAAAGCUAGGGUAGCAAACGGGAUUAGAAACCCCGGUAGUCCUAGCCGUAAACGAUGUGAACUUGGUGUUGGUGGGGUAAAAGCCAUCAGUGCCGUAGCUAACGCGAUAAGUUCACCGCCUGGGGACUACGGUCGCAAGAUUA